This 490-nucleotide ribosomal RNA is filed under the name uncultured bacterium. RNAcentral's name for it is "bacterial SSU rRNA". It matches the Rfam family "Bacterial small subunit ribosomal RNA", at positions 215 to 697 of the family's 1533-position model. The record is from RNAcentral.
UCACUAAGAGAUGGUCCCGCGGUGCAAUAUCUAGUUGGUAAGGUAAUGGCUUACCAAGGCGAUGAUGCAUAGCCGAGUUGAGAGACUGAUCGGCCACAAUGGGACUGAGACACGGCCCAUACUCCUACGGGAGGCAGCAUUAGGGAAUCUUCCACAAUGGGCGAAAGCCUGAUGGAGCAACGCCGCGUGUGUGAUGAAGGGUUUCGGCUCGUAAAACACUGUUGUAAGAGAAGAAUGACAUUGAGAGUAACUGUUCAAUGUGUGACGGUAUCUUACCAGAAAGGAACGGCUAAAUACGUGCCAGCAGCCGCGGUAAUACAUAUGUUCCAAGCGUUAUCCGGAUUUAUUGGGCGUAAAGCGAGCGCAGACGGUUAUUUAAGUCUGAAGUGAAAGCCCUCACCUCAACUGAGGAAUUGCUUUGGACACUGGAUGACUUGAGUGCAAUAGAGGAAAGUGGAACUCCAUGUGUAGCGGUGAAAUGCGUAUAUAU